Molecule: unclassified non-coding RNA, 344 nt
Filed under: Hevea brasiliensis (rubber tree)
Lineage: Eukaryota; Viridiplantae; Streptophyta; Magnoliopsida; Malpighiales; Euphorbiaceae
Source: RNAcentral
CUUAAAAAUACAAUCUUUAUUGACAACAUCAUGUGGGGUAACCACAAAAUUUGAUCUUUUUGAUGGGUUUUGCUUAAAAAUACAAUCUUGAUUGACAAUAUCAUGUGGGGCAUGAAAAUUUGGUUUCUUGAAAGGUUUGGAUGAACUGUACCUGAAGAAUGAUAGCCUUGUGGUUCUGGGGUAGAACUGGUGGCUGGGAACUAGAGCCAUGCUCAAAUUAUAUGCAUAUACUCAUAUAUAGAUACACCAAAAUGAACAUGUAUAUAUAUAACAAAAUGGAAGGAAAAGAACUGAAAAACAGAGAAAAUAGAAGUGAAUAUAGCAAAAGAGAGUGAGGGUUUUGG